GGUGAGUAACGCGUAUGCAACCUACCUAUAACUAAAGAAUAGCCCGAAGAAAUUUGGAUUAAUACUUUAGAUUAUCUGAGAGAGGCAUCUCUCACAGAUUAAAGCUCCGGCGGUUAUAGAUGGGCAUGCGUGCCAUUAGCUUGUUGGUGAGGUAACGGCUCACCAAUGCUAUGAUGGCUAGGGGGUCUUAAAGGAUGAUCCUCCACACUGGUACUGAGACACGGACCAGACUCCUACGGGAGGCAGCAGUGAGGAAUAUUGGUCAAUGGGCGAAAGUCUGAACCAGCCAUGCCGCGUGCAGGAUGACGAUCCUAUGGAUUGUAAACUGCUUUUGUACGGGAAGAAUAUUUUCUACGUGUAGGAAAUUGACGGUACCGUGCGAAUAAGCAUCGGCUAACUCCGUGCCAGCAGCCGCGGUAAUACGGAGGAUGCAAGUGUUAUCCGGAUUUAUUAGGUUUAAAGGGUACGCAGGCGGAAGAGUAAGUCAGUGGUGAAAUCCUACAGCUUAACUGUAGAACUGCCAUUGAUACUGUUCUUCUUGAGUGCAGUUGAGGCAGGCGGAAUGCGUAGUGUAGCGGUGAAAUGCAUAGAUAUUGCGCAGAACUCCGAUUGCGAAGGCAGCUUGCAAAACUGUAACUGACGCUCAUGUACGAAAGCGUGGGGAGCGAACAGGAUUAGAUACCCUGGUAGUCCACGCCGUAAACGAUGAUCACUCGUUGUGUGCGAU
Molecule: ribosomal RNA, 727 nt
Filed under: uncultured organism
Description: bacterial SSU rRNA
Rfam family: Bacterial small subunit ribosomal RNA
Source: RNAcentral